AGAGAAGUAUUAUCUAUUCUGGACCAUAUAUAAGUCUCCUGGAAUGGGGCAUCAUAGAGGGUGAGAAUCCCGUCUUUAAUAUGGACUACCAGUAUGUUAUGAUAUGCUCUCAACGAGUCGAGUUGUUUGGGAAUGCAGCUCUAAAUGGGUGGUAAAUUCCAUCUAAAGCUAAAUAUUGGCGAGAGACCGAUAGUAAACAAGUACCGUGAGGGAAAGAUGAAAAGAACUUUGGAAAGAGAGUUAAACAGUACGUGAAAUUGUUGAAAGGGAAACGCUUAAAGUCAGUCACAUUGAUCAGGGAUCAAUCUUGCUUUUUGCUUGAUGUAUUUUCUGAUUAAUGGGUCAGCAUCAAUUUUGAUCAGUGGAAAAAGGCUGAGAAAAUGUGGCAUCUUUUGAUGUGUUAUAGUUCUUUGUCAUAUACAUUGAUUGAAAUUGAGGAACUCAGCAUGCCGCAAGGCCAGGUUUUAAUCAUGUUCAUGCUUAGGAUGCUGGCAUAAUGUCUUUAAUCGACCCGUCUUGAAACACGGACCAAGGAGUCUAACAUGCAUGCAAGUGUUUGGGUGAAAAACCCAUGCGCGUAAUGAAAGUGAAAGUUGGGAUCUCUGUCAUGGAAAGCACCGACACCCAGACCAGACCUUCUGUGACGGAUCUGCGGUUGAGCAUGUAUGUUGGGACCCGAAAGAUGGUGAACUAUGCCUGAAUAGGGUGAAGCCAGAGGAAACUCUGGUGGAGGCUC
This 736-nucleotide ribosomal RNA is filed under the name Inocephalus glycosmus var. paranapiacabensis. Its description in RNAcentral is "partial large subunit ribosomal RNA". It matches the Rfam family "Eukaryotic large subunit ribosomal RNA", at positions 151 to 876 of the family's 3401-position model. The record is from RNAcentral. Lineage: Eukaryota; Fungi; Basidiomycota; Agaricomycetes; Agaricales; Entolomataceae.